Long non-coding RNA from Lolium perenne, 1497 nucleotides. RefSeq lists it as uncharacterized. NCBI's taxonomy places the organism in Eukaryota, Viridiplantae, Streptophyta, Magnoliopsida, Poales, Poaceae. The record is from RefSeq and is a predicted model, not a curated record.
CGACCCACGCGCUGUCAAAGGAGAUAUCGUGGCCCCGCCUCGCGAGCCUGCCUCCCUCCUCUCUCGCCAGGUCCUUCUCCCUCCUUCUCUCUCCACCUUUCUCUUUCUGCCCUCCCCCGUGAUCUACCUGCCCCGCCGGCCGCCAUGGCGUUCGGCGACCGCAUGACCACCCUCGUCUACGUCCGCAAGGUAUGCAUCCUCAACCCUCCCUCCUGUCCCCGUCCCCUCCUCUGCACCGGCUGGAUCGCGAGACUCGUCUCGUGGAUCUCCGAUGCGUAGAUGAGGUAGCCUCGGUUCGGAAUCGGGGUAUCUCUAGAUCUCUCCACCGUGCGCCUCUGCUCGCCUCGAUCGCGAGGGAGCACGGGGCUGUGAAUUGGGCGGGUCGGGAGGGCUGGAUUGGUGGGGAGAUUCGUUCAAUUGGGCUGGAUUGGUGGGGAGAUUCGUUCAAUUGGGCUGGAUUGGUGGGGAGAUUCGUUGAAUUGGGCGAAAGUCAGCGAGCUGUACACAGUCGGGCCAGCUAGGUCCGGCGUUUGCUGCUGAUGCUAAUUGACAAUUAAAUGGUCCGGCAUACCAUAUGCAGGAUUGGGAAUAAUAAUCAUCUUCCCAAUUCUUAUCCCCCAACUAAUUCCCUCCUCCAAAUUCCCAUUCCCUAUCCCCAGAGUAGCCAAACACGCUGUACAUGACGACGCGAAUCAGCAAGACUCCAUUUUGUUCUUCUUGUUUUAUUACUACUACUGCAUUUUGGAUCCUGGAUCGGACAAGUGCUUUGGUUCUUCUUGAGUUUUGUCUAUCAGGGCUUCUGGUGCUGUAUGUACCAUGCUUGAGAGUCAACUUUUACAUGAUCUGGACACUUCCUUUUUGUGGGGUGUAGGGGCUUAAUUUAAGUUGUUGUAGAAUUGUUAUGAAUUCUAGAAUUUACAUGAUUUAUAUUCAACUGUUGUGACUUCUCAUACCUCCGAUCCGACCACCAAGUUGAGCUGCUCGUCCCGGAGACGCCGCCGUCCAGGGCCUUGUCUGUGUUGGCUCUAAAGGUACCUAGGGUUUUGCCGUGGCCGGCAAGGGCAGCCUGGAGCGCGUCCAGAAGGAGGAGUACCAGCUUAUCUGCAAGGAUAACGAGGAGAAGAACGGAAAGCUGUGGCCUUGUUCUUCGAAUCCAUUGUUUGUUGUUUAUCAGUCGCAGCAAUGUGACAGUUAGAAUUUCUAUAGCAGCGUUCUGUUUAUGAUCAUCUUGUUAUAUGAUUGUCAAAAUAAGGGGUUAACUUGUUCAAUGCCAGGUACAGAUCUGUACAUAGCAGUCCGAGAGUAAAGUGCAGUAAAUAGUUUCAUAUUUAUUUAAACUUUCACUGCAAGAGAGCAUUGUUAUGCAGCACAAAAACUUUAGGAGAUUCUUUUAAAUUUCUUGUAGGCUAUGUUUUUUUAAUAUGGACCUUUUUGUUAGUACCGUUGUUCUGAAAUAUAAGCCUUUUUUAAAUAAAGAUUGAAUUUGUUUUUAUUCUU